GGCUGAGAAAUGAUGCUGGGGCCUGGAUACUCUUAAUCCCUGACUCCAGUUUAGAUCCAGGGAGACUAUCAGGGUGGAGUUGGCACUAAUCCCUGGGGAGUGGGCCGUCCUUGCUCUGAAAAGAACCAGUAAACAGUUACCAGUCAGAUAAUACCAUUGCUUCACUUCUUUUCUUUUUACAGGAGAUGUUUACCUUGGAUCUCACUGAUGGGGUGGUGGUUUGGGGGAGAAUUGUAAUCUGACUCACUAGAGUUUGAUUUCAUCACAGUAAAGCUUGAUUUUUAACUAUUCCCCAGAGUCCUCAGAUCUUUAUUUCAUAGCCCCAAGAACUCACUGAGAGCCCCACUUGAACCAAACUUGGCUUUUCCAAGGAAGGUCAAGAUAGAAGCUUUGAUUGUUUGCUUGCUUGUUUAUUGCAGGGGCAGGGAAAUAGUUUUAGGCUGUGUUCCCUUCUGGGAGCUUUUUGCAAGUGGUGCGGUAUUCACAUCCGUGUAAUGGCCAUGUUGUGGCACUGCACAGGUGUCUGGUCACGCCAGAGGCAUUCAGGGUCCUGUGAACAUGUCAUACUAUAUUCCAGGUCCUGUCUCCAUGAGACUAUAAUGCCAGACCAGUUCCUGAGGUACAGUAGUUUUGGACUUCAGCUUCCAUCAUCACUGACCGCUGGCCAUGUUGGCAGGGACAGAUGGGAAUUGCAGCCCGAUGCAUCUGAAGCGCACCAGGUUUACAAAGGCUGGGACAUCCUCCUUAAAGAGUGGGAACAAUGUGAGGUCGAACUGGUGCAGAGUAAAGUGCAACUACUAGUUGCAACAAUUUGCAAGGUGUGGUUUUAUGAAUGCAGCCUAAAAUUGCAUUAAUUUUCUUUGUAGGUACACAACAAUGCUGACUCAUGUUCACUGCAGUCCUGAGAUCCUUUUCACACGAACAGCUGCCAAGCAGAGAAUUCCACAGUUCUAUACUGAUGUUUUCAAACAAACAAACAAACAUUAUCAGCUUAA
Podarcis lilfordi (Lilford's wall lizard) is the source of this 995-nucleotide non-coding RNA. NCBI's taxonomy places the organism in Eukaryota, Metazoa, Chordata, Lepidosauria, Squamata, Lacertidae. The record is from the annotation of a GenBank genome assembly.